This 76-nucleotide transfer RNA is filed under the name Corynebacterium pseudotuberculosis. Its description in RNAcentral is "tRNA-Phe". The record is from RNAcentral. Lineage: Bacteria; Bacillati; Actinomycetota; Actinomycetes; Mycobacteriales; Corynebacteriaceae.
CAAGUCCCGUCAGGGUCGCGGAUCACUUUUGUGGUCAGUGGCGCGGUAGCUCAGUCGGUAGAGCGUCCGCCUGAAA